GACGAACGCUGGCCGCUUUCUUCCCCCCUUCACUUCUACCUUCCCUGCCCUGCUUUUUUUUUUUUCUCUAUUGGCGAACGGGUGAGUAACACGUGAGUAACCUGCCCUUGACUUUGGGAUAACUUCAUUAAACUGGGGCUAAUACCGGAUAGGAGCUCCUGCUUCAUUUGUUGGGUUGGAAAGUUUCGGCGGUUUGUGAUGGACUCGCGGCUUAUCAGCUUGUUGGUGGGGUAGUGGCUUACCAAGGCUUUUCCUUUUAGCCGGCCUGAGAGGGUGACCGGACACAUUGGGAAUGAGAUACGGCCAAGAAUCCUACGGGAGGAAGAAGGGGGGAAUAUUGAAAAAUGGGAGGAAGCAGGAUGCAGCAACGCCGCGUGAGGGAGGAAGGAAGGAGGGUUGUAAACCGCUUUAGCAGGGGACGAAGAGUGAGUGAAGGGAAUGGGUAAAGAAGCAAAGGAGAAAGAAGGG
This 468-nucleotide ribosomal RNA is filed under the name uncultured bacterium. RNAcentral's name for it is "partial 16S ribosomal RNA". It matches the Rfam family "Bacterial small subunit ribosomal RNA", at positions 28 to 507 of the family's 1533-position model. The record is from RNAcentral.